CCUGCCCCAUGCAAAGGGAACCAACCGCUCCUGGCUCACCCCUCUCUCUCCGAGGGGGCAGCCGAGGGACCUGGGCGCACCGGUCCUUCGUCCAGUCCCGCCCACCUAGCCGCGACUCCGAGCUGCCGCCUGCUGCCCCCUGCUGUCCCCUGGCUGAUGAGCCUGAGAGCAGCGCGAGCCGACCCGCGGAAAGCCAAGCCCGCCGUUGUGGGACCUGCGGGGACAGAUCCGGCGGGCGGGGCGUCCGCGGGCUGGGCUGGUCCACCUGCGUGCUCUGCGCAUCCUUCUGCAGCUCCUGCGGUUGGUGCGCCGUUUGUUCCCAGAGAUUCAGGUUUGGAAGACGCACCAGUUACAACCGCACAUGCGCGCUGCCUGGCGAGGAAAAGACAGCGGGACUUUGCAUGUCGAUCACAGUGUCACCUUCCAAAUGUAAAAUUCAUCGUCAUAAUGCUGAAUAAGUAGACCUUUUAAACUAUGUCCCCACAAAACUCCAAAAGGAGGCGCUCUCCCUCCUCGUGCGGUCCUUGCGAGGCAGGGGAGAAACCUCAGCUCUGUCCCUGAACAGCCCUCUGAGAGCUCCUCCUGCUUCCUCAUC
Molecule: long non-coding RNA, 595 nt
Filed under: Equus caballus (horse)
Lineage: Eukaryota; Metazoa; Chordata; Mammalia; Perissodactyla; Equidae
Description: lncRNA (ENSECAG00000033951.3)
Source: RNAcentral